GGCGGCAGGCCUAACACAUGCAAGUCGAGCGCACCUUCGGGUGAGCGGCGGACGGGUUAGUAACGCGUGGGAACGUACCCUUUUCUACGGAAUAGCCUUUGGAAACGAAGAGUAAUACCGUAUACGCCCUUUGGGGGAAAGAUUUAUCGGAGAAGGAUCGGCCCGCGUUAGAUUAGAUAGUUGGUGGGGUAACGGCCUACCAAGUCUACGAUCUAUAGCUGGUUUUAGAGGAUGAUCAGCAACACUGGGACUGAGACACGGCCCAGACUCCUACGGGAGGCAGCAGUGGGGAAUCUUAGACAAUGGGCGCAAGCCUGAUCUAGCCAUGCCGCGUGAGUGAUGAAGGCCUUAGGGUCGUAAAGCUCUUUCGCCUGUGAUGAUAAUGACAGUAGCAGGUAAAGAAACCCCGGCUAACUCCGUGCCAGCAGCCGCGGUAAUACGGAGGGGGUUAGCGUUGUUCGGAAUUACUGGGCGUAAAGCGCACGUAGGCGGAUUGGAAAGUUGGGGGUGAAAUCCCGGGGCUCAACCCCGGAACUGCCUCCAAAACUAUCAGUCUAGAGUUCGAGAGAGGUGAGUGGAAUUCCAAGUGUAGAGGUGAAAUUCGUAGAUAUUUGGAGGAACACCAGUGGCGAAGGCGGCUCACUGGCUCGAUACUGA
This 657-nucleotide ribosomal RNA is filed under the name alpha proteobacterium IMCC14596. Its description in RNAcentral is "bacterial SSU rRNA". It matches the Rfam family "Bacterial small subunit ribosomal RNA", at positions 38 to 743 of the family's 1533-position model. RNAcentral also lists the same sequence under 10 other names. Lineage: Bacteria; Pseudomonadati; Pseudomonadota; Alphaproteobacteria. The record is from RNAcentral.